GCAUGUGUGUAAAAUCCGAGUUUAGAGAGCAGUAGCACUCUAUAGCAAGUCCAAGUUAGUAAGGGUGCAGUGUAGUCUUUUGUCGUGAUGCUGCAAGCCUCCAACAGCAUGAUGCAAUUUCCGGUAGAGAGGGCCGAGAGGCCAACUGUCUAGAACAAAACAAACACAACAAGCACCCUCACUGAUUGCGCUGCUUGGGACAACGCCACUAGAGAGCUCUGCUUCAACUACUUCAAUAGGGAGCUGAUUACCUUCGAGCGGUGUGAUCACCGGAACGAAUGCCAAUGCUGGAGAGGAGUCUGGAUCUCCUGCCCACGAGAACUCUGCCCACGUUUAAUGCGGGGGGAUUCUGAUCUAAGAUGGAAGCGGAGAGAGAGGGUCGAGAAUUGAAGAUGGAGCUAACAUCCGUCCCGUUAUCUCCGUACUAGUUGAAGAUGGAGCUCGUGUGGGAGGACAGGUGUCUCGGUUUGAUUGUGUGGGGCGUUUGUGGGGCGCCCAAUGGUGAUUUGAACUCAUCCCUGUUCCCCCUAUUCUCUUCUCGCUCCCUCCUUGCCUCCGCUAGCUCUCUCUCUCGACCUAUCACCGGUUGUGCCACCCUGCAACCUCCGACGCCCCUACAACCGGCGAUCGAAGCCCAUCGUUUCUGCCACCUCCUCUGCAAGGGUUUGCAGCAGAUCUGAGUAUUAAAAGAUGUGCUUGGUUUGAAAACUCUCAAAGAGAGAGAGAGCGAAAGAGAAUGGUACGAAGAGGAGGUUUUGGUUAGUUUCGACACAGCGUUCCAGCUUACAGCAAUCUUUCGUUUGACAGAAGUAUAUAGUCUUUGUAUCUUGAUAAUUCGAUGUAGAUUCUAAACUAAACUCGCCUUGUAUUUUUAGUUUUGGGUUGUAGAGGUAGAUCCUUGUUUUGUUAAUUUAGUAGGUGUUAGUGUAGCUUGUUGAGUCCAGUUUACUUUUCCUACGUUACUCGUCCUUCUGGCUCUAUUUUCAGUUGUUUUUGCUGUUAAAAGUUCUUUAGUAAAGGCGAUUCUGAGAGUCCAGUUGUUGGUA
Nelumbo nucifera (sacred lotus) is the source of this 1046-nucleotide non-coding RNA. NCBI's taxonomy places the organism in Eukaryota, Viridiplantae, Streptophyta, Magnoliopsida, Proteales, Nelumbonaceae. The record is from RefSeq and is a predicted model, not a curated record.